AGUUCUGUUUUGUCAAUUCAAAAAUCUUAACCUUACUUUUACAAGUGAUUAGGAUUAUUAUUUUAUUUACAUAUAAAUUGAAACAAUAAAUAUUGUGCUGUGUCAUAAUUUAAAACUCAUUAUGUUGCAGUCUUUUCCAGUUGAUAAAAUUGCAAUUCAAAAACUUUUAGAUUUGCACUAGAUUGGCACAGAAAGAGAACAGUACAAGAACAUGAAACAUCUUAUUAUGAAUGUAUAUGUAAGUGAUCCUCAAAAAAUUAUUUUACAAAACAAGAUAGAGAAAGAGCUUUAAAAUCCCAAGGAUCCUGCAAAAUGUUUAUUUGGUGUACUAGUCGAAUAAUAGUAUCUAAAAAUAUUGAAACUAUUUUAAAACAUAUUACGGACACGAGGAUGAUAUAGAGCACUUACAUAAAUACCAAAAUCAGAUAAAUAUCUCUUCAAAGUUUAUUUUGAGACUUUCUUCAAAAAUUAAACUUCAGACUGUUCAGGAUAGCAUAAUAGCAUAGGAGGCGAAUUAAAAAGAAUUAAUUUACUUACAAGUAAAGAUAUCACAAACAUUAAACUAUCUUAUGCUUACAGACUCAUGUCCAAUAUUAUUUUACAAACAACAGGGCAUACUAAUGGAUAUUCAUUCUGAAUUUAAUAUUUAUGAUUUUUGUCUUAUUUUCCUUAAUACUGUGCAAAAAUGAAAUGUUAAUUAAGUGUGGUAAAUCCUUUAUCGCAAUCGAUGGAACUCAUAGGCUCAAUUCCUAUGACUUUGAACUUAUGACAGUAUUAGUAAAAGAUGAAUUUGGGAAUGGAUUUUGUACUGCUUUCUUAUUUUCAAAUAGAAAAAAUACCUACUUUAAUUUACCGAUUUUUUAAAUACAUGUCUGUGUUGGUAUUAUAUGUAUAGUCAAAUGUUUUCAUAUCAGGCAUAAGCGACACCUUUUACAAUGCCUCGUCAAAUGUAAUGGGUAUUGCUCCUAAUAGACUGUUAAGUGCCUGGCACAUAGAUAGGGCAUGGUAAGUAAAUCUUAAUAAAAUAUCUGAUUCUGAAAAAAAUCCUAUUAUGUAUACAAGAUGUAUUAAUGAUGGUUUAGAGAGUAUUAAUAGCUUUUUGGGUAGACUUCUAAGUGAUGCAGAUACAUACAAUUUUAGUAAGUAUUUCCAGUAGAACUAGUGCAAUAACAUCCAACAAUGGGCCUAUUGUUAUAGGAAGGGGUUGUGGAAUUAAUACCAAUAUGACCAUUCAAAAUUUUCAUAAAAUUUUGGAUAAAAGGGUAUCCAUUAGUUGUUAUCAGUUAAGUUUGAAACUUCGCACUUAUGGAGAGCUAUACCAUAAUAUAUAAUAUGUAUAUCUCAUAAUAUUACAUCUCAUAUUGUUCACUACAGUAGUAAUGAGUGAGCCUGCAUACACAGAACCAUAAUAAUAUAUUAUAGUUCGUGUAUGCAGGCUCACUCAUUACAAUAGUGAGCAAUAUGAGAUAUAACAUAUUAUAGUAUAAGUCUCUGUGCAUGACCAGAUUAACAUGUUUGGUGCCCAUCUCGAACAAGCUCCACUUGGCUGGUACCACAUACUUAAAUCAUUUAUUUAGUUACACAGUACUACUCACAUAACUUAUGUGUCGUCAGUACCUUCCGUAAAACCUUCGUGAUGCUACCCAUAUGUCAUGGCCACUGAAUGUGUUAAAGCGUGUUAAUGUAGGAGAGUUAUACUAAAAUAUAUAUCUUAUAUUAUAUUGCCUUAAAUAGAAAAAAUAUCUUAUUUAAAUUGUAUCCAUGUAAGUUUUGAUUUAAUGAAAUAAACCUUUUAAUCAAAAAAGUGUUGUUUACUUGUGUACACCCAGCAAUAUCCUGAUCAUAGAUAAAUAAUAUAGUAUUACCGGAUCCUGAUAUGCAGACGCCAAUAGGGCUUUUCAUCGAUUGUCAUUUGUUUCGAGCUUCUGUCAUGAGUCACAUAAUAUUAAUGUAUCUACGUCAUACGUCUUUGGUUUGUAUCAUUGGUAUAUAGCAUAUACCAAUAACGUAUGACGUAAAUAUAUUAAUAUUAUGAGACACAUGACAGAAGCUCGAAACAAAUGACUGUGAAUGAAAUGCCCUAUUGAAUAGGGCUUUUCAUCGAUUGUCAUUUGUUUCGAGCUUCGUUCAAGUGUCACAUAAUAUUAAUAUAUCUACGUCAUACGUCUUUGGUUUGUAUCAUUGGCAAUAUCAAUAACAUAUGACAUAGAUAUAUUAAUAUUAGACGACACAUGACAGAAGCUCGAAAUAAAUGACUAAGUGAAAAGCCCUAUAUCAUGUAAAUACAAGUCAUAAAGAUGUCCUUCUACGGUUAAAAUUUCACAGCCUAAAGACAUCAUUUAUGUAACUUCUUAAGCCGUCACAAAAUGACUGCAAUAAGAAAAUAGAAUUUAUUAACUCGCCUCGCCCCCAGGCAAAGUAAAGGUGCUAGGCCACUAAGAAUGUUUUUUUCAAUUUUUUUAUUUUGUGGCUUUAGCGCUUAGCUAUUUAGCCAGAUACAUGAUGAGAAUUAAUACUAUUAUAAUGCAUAUUAAAACUAAUUCAAAUUACUAGUAAUUUUAUUAAUAUUCUGAAUAAUUAUGUAACCACUUAAUACUACAAUAAAAAAGUGUCCAUCUAUAUUAUCCCAACACAUUUUAACCUUUGAAAUCGUAAAUUUCCAUUCCCAUUAAAAAAAUAAUUUGUACUGUAUAAGUAUAUUUCUUUUGAGCUUCAUUUUUUUUUUUCAAAAUACUGCAACAUGAGUUUUAAAUUAUGACACAGUACAAUACUUGUUUCAAUAUUUACAUGUAAAUAAAAUAAUCCUAAUUACUUGUAAAAGUAAGGUUAUAAAUUUAAGAAUACAGAACCACCGAACAACCCGAAGGCACAGUCGACUCGGCGGGAAAAGUUCGCGCAUCUGGUUUGCGCACGGCUGGCGGCCAUUUUUUCGGUCCACAGGUCCGCUGCUGACACGAUCAAUUUGUGAUUGUUGUUGUCAGAUCACGCUUGUUUCGGGGUUACUUUGAUUUUGUGUUGUUCUGUUCGGUGAUUUUGUUUUUGUGCAUUGUGCAAUAAUAAUUAUGGAUAUGGACAAAAAGAAAGGCAGUUCGAAUUUAAUCUGUGCAGCGAUCAACUGUAAAAACACGGUAUCAAAUUUCAGCUAUAGUUUUUUUCCGUUUUCCAAAAGACGAAUCAAGGUAAGCAUUUUUAAAUUCACAAUGUUUUUAUAAAUGUGUAUGUACUUAAAUGGGUAGGUACUUGAAAAUUUGGUGUUAACUAUGAAACUUUACCUAAUCAAUUAUUUUCAAUGGGAAAUAAGCCACAAUUUUACCAAAAAAAUGAUUUUAUUAACGUUUCGACGCCCAAGUCAGGUGUUAUUGUCAAAAUACAAAAUAAUUCUUGUAUUCAAUCAUUGAAAAUAGUUGAUUAUAAAAAUGCCACAAGGAAAUAGCUUCAGAACAAAACUUUACCUAUAUUAUGUAUACAGGGUGUCCAGAAACUCUACCGACAAACGAAGACAGGAGACUCCUCAUAUAAUUUUAAGACAUUUAAACCCAA
This 3540-nucleotide long non-coding RNA is filed under the name Diabrotica virgifera virgifera (western corn rootworm). RNAcentral's name for it is "uncharacterized LOC126890451". The record is from RNAcentral. Lineage: Eukaryota; Metazoa; Arthropoda; Insecta; Coleoptera; Chrysomelidae.